Molecule: unclassified non-coding RNA, 205 nt
Filed under: rhizosphere metagenome
Description: partial ribosomal RNA internal transcribed spacer region
Source: RNAcentral
GAAUUUUAGGGCGUCUACUUCGGUAGAGCCUGACCUCCACUCUAUCACACUGUGCACUUAUUGGCGGAAAGGAAGGAAGCAUGCGACGAGUGUACUCGACAAAGUGUGACUUUCUGCUCUGCGGCUUACUAUUUAAACAUUUGUCAAAGUAUGUAAAGAAAUAUCGAAAUAAAAAAAAACUUUCAACAACGGAUCUCUUGGCUCU